Corythoichthys intestinalis (scribbled pipefish) is the source of this 1706-nucleotide long non-coding RNA. RefSeq lists it as uncharacterized. Lineage: Eukaryota; Metazoa; Chordata; Actinopteri; Syngnathiformes; Syngnathidae. The record is from RefSeq and is a predicted model, not a curated record. The transcript is spliced from 3 exons.
CUGGAAAUCGUUACGGCUGUGCAUGUUUGUUUUGGUUUGUUGAGUGUAUAUAUAUGCAGAUUGGAAGGCGGUUUGUGUUAAAAUUGGCGACGUUUGGUGAGCCAUGGACAAAAGGGAGCUCGACACAAUAGCAAACACUGAGACGGUGGACAACCAGCAACAUGAUCAGGGAACAGCCACCACAGCAGAACCAAAUAAAACAUCCAAUUUACCUUGGUUUCUGAGACCCGGCGCAUAUUCAUUUUUACAGGGUAGGGGCCAGGUAUCAUCUCAGAUUCCAACCACAAAGUGAAGCAGGACUUGACAAGACGCAGGAAAAAUGGGUUCUGCUUUUUUGCUCCGUUGUUUGGAGCUUUCCAUUAGGGUGCUGUAAUUCAAUGAUGAAUUGGAAUUGUUCAUAAAAUGUGCUGUCCUAUAAAAUGUAAUUACAUGCGUGAUGGAGUGCUUAUUAAACAUGUGGAAAAAGUGCUCACUUCUGGGAUGUUGACUGUUGUCAGCUAGCUCAUCAUAGUACUUUUUAUCUGUGUUGACAAAACUGUGAAUCAAUACCGCAGCAAUUCAGUGUUUUUAAUUGCAACACUUUGUCAACAAUAAGUAACCUAUAACAUCCAUGCAUUUUUCAUAUUUCAUUUAGCACAAUAUUGUUAUUUGUUUUUCAAUUUGAAAGCUUUAUAUGGUCCUUAAACGUAAUAAGAAAAAUUAAACAUUUAAAAAAAAAAUUUGAUUUGUAUAUGGCGGAAAACACAGACAAGACUGAAAAAGCAGUUUUUGCUCUUGCGUUCCUCUUUAUAAGAAAAUGCUGUAUUUUAAGCCAAAACAACUGUUGUGUUUGAUAGAACAAUAUGUCUAUAUGCUGCCAUAGCAGAUUCAUGCCGCAUUAAGCCCCCAAACUAGUUUUAAUUUUUCCAUCUUACCCUGAAAACCCCCGUUUACAGACGUCGCGCAACCUCUUUUGUUUGUUUGUUGCUUUUGUCUCCUUUUUCGGCCACAAAUCUUCCCUCUCCCCUUCUGUGACUAAUUUGGGAGUCAGGUUUGACCCCCAUCUUAGCUUUAACAAUCACAUCAAUUACAUUUGCAAAACCUCCUUCUUUCACCUCCGCAAUAUUGCCAAACUCCGGCCAUCUCUCUCCCGUCCUGCUGCAGAGAGACUCGUACAUGCCUUUAUCUCCUCCAGGUUGGACUAUUGCAAUGCACUCCUCAUCGGGAUCCCUGGCAAGAGCCUACAGAGGCUUCAGUAUGUCCAAAAUAGCGCUGCCAGGGUCCUGAUGAGGGUGCGUAAACAUGAGCACAUCACCCCCAUCCUCCGCACCCUACACUGGCUCCCUGUUCACCUCCGUAUUGAAUUCAAAAUCCUCCUUCACACCCAUCACUGUCUACACGGUGUAGCCCCCACCUACCUCACCGAACUCCUCACAUUACAUACUUCAGACAGAACCCGGUCAGGCCAACAGCACCGUCUACUCCCGCCCAGGACUCGGCUCAAGACUAUGGGCUACAGGGCCUUUACAGCUGCUGCCCCCCGUCUGUGGAACGCCCUCCCAGACCAUCUCAGAGCCCCGCAGAUGGUGGAUGCAUUUAAAAAAGGACUAAAAACUCACCUUUUUAAAAAAGCUUAUUCUAGCUAAUUUUAUUUGACUGUCUUACUUGUAUCUGAUUGGUAUCUGAUUUUAUCUGUGCUUGUGUCUGUUUUGCUUUUACUGUUUUAU